GCCUACAGUCCUAUAACACA
RNAcentral lists this transfer RNA (20 nucleotides) under Ameerega hahneli. Its description in RNAcentral is "partial tRNA-Phe". Lineage: Eukaryota; Metazoa; Chordata; Amphibia; Anura; Dendrobatidae. The record is from RNAcentral.